ACGAACGCUGGCGGCGUGCUUAACACAUGCAAGUCGAACGGAAAGGCCCUGCUUUUGUGGGGUGCUCGAGUGGCGAACGGGUGAGUAACACGUGAGUAACCUGCCCUUGACUUUGGGAUAACUUCAGGAAACUGGGGCUAAUACCGGAUAGGAGCUCCUGCUGCAUGGUGGGGGUUGGAAAGUUUCGGCGGUUGGGGAUGGACUCGCGGCUUAUCAGCUUGUUGGUGGGGUAGUGGCUUACCAAGGCUUUGACGGGUAGCCGGCCUGAGAGGGUGACCGGCCACAUUGGGCCUGAGAUACGGCCCAGACGCCUACGGGAGGCAGCAGUGGGGAAUAUUGCACAAUGGCCGGAAGCCUGAUGCGGCAACGCCGCGUGCGGAAUGCCGGCCUUCGGGUUGUAAACCGCUUUCGCCUGUGACGAAGCGUGAGUGACGGUAAUGGAUAAAAAAGCACCGGCUAACUACGUG
Molecule: ribosomal RNA, 467 nt
Filed under: uncultured bacterium
Lineage: Bacteria
Description: partial 16S ribosomal RNA
Rfam family: Bacterial small subunit ribosomal RNA
Source: RNAcentral